CGGACGGGUGAGUAACGCGUGGGUAACCUGCCUCAUACAGGGGGAUAACAGUUAGAAAUGACUGCUAAUACCGCAUAAGCGCACAAAACCGCAUGGUUUGGUGUGAAAAACUGAGGUGGUAUGAGAUGGACCUGCGUCUGAUUAGCUAGUUGGAGAGGUAACGGCUCACCAAGGCGACGAUACAUAGGGGGACUGAGAGGUCAACCCCCCACAUUGGUACUGAGACACGGACCAGACUCCUACGGAAGGCAGCAG
This 255-nucleotide ribosomal RNA is filed under the name uncultured bacterium. Its description in RNAcentral is "partial 16S ribosomal RNA". It matches the Rfam family "Bacterial small subunit ribosomal RNA", at positions 99 to 354 of the family's 1533-position model. The record is from RNAcentral.